RNAcentral lists this ribosomal RNA (1393 nucleotides) under Escherichia coli. Its description in RNAcentral is "partial 23S ribosomal RNA". It matches the Rfam family "Bacterial large subunit ribosomal RNA", at positions 998 to 2375 of the family's 2925-position model. RNAcentral also lists the same sequence under 1 other name. The record is from RNAcentral. Lineage: Bacteria; Pseudomonadati; Pseudomonadota; Gammaproteobacteria; Enterobacterales; Enterobacteriaceae.
CUAACGUCCGUCGUGAAGAGGGAAACAACCCAGACCGCCAGCUAAGGUCCCAAAGUCAUGGUUAAGUGGGAAACGAUGUGGGAAGGCCCAGACAGCCAGGAUGUUGGCUUAGAAGCAGCCAUCAUUUAAAGAAAGCGUAAUAGCUCACUGGUCGAGUCGGCCUGCGCGGAAGAUGUAACGGGGCUAAACCAUGCACCGAAGCUGCGGCAGCGACGCUUAUGCGUUGUUGGGUAGGGGAGCGUUCUGUAAGCCUGUGAAGGUGUGCUGUGAGGUAUGCUGGAGGUAUCAGAAGUGCGAAUGCUGACAUAAGUAACGAUAAAGCGGGUGAAAAGCCCGCUCGCCGGAAGACCAAGGGUUCCUGUCCAACGUUAAUCGGGGCAGGGUGAGUCGACCCCUAAGGCGAGGCCGAAAGGCGUAGUCGAUGGGAAACAGGUUAAUAUUCCUGUACUUGGUGUUACUGCGAAGGGGGGACGGAGAAGGCUAUGUUGGCCGGGCGACGGUUGUCCCGGUUUAAGCGUGUAGGCUGGUUUUCCAGGCAAAUCCGGAAAAUCAAGGCCGAGGCGUGAUGACGAGGCACUACGGUGCUGAAGCAACAAAUGCCCUGCUUCCAGGAAAAGCCUCUAAGCAUCAGGUAACAUCAAAUCGUACCCCAAACCGACACAGGUGGUCAGGUAGAGAAUACCAAGGCGCUUGAGAGAACUCGGGUGAAGGAACUAGGCAAAAUGGUGCCGUAACUUCGGGAGAAGGCACGCUGAUACGUAGGUGAAGCGACUUGCUCGUGGAGCUGAAAUCAGUCGAAGAUACCAGCUGGCUGCAACUGUUUAUUAAAAACACAGCACUGUGCAAACACGAAAGUGGACGUAUACGGUGUGACGCCUGCCCGGUGCCGGAAGGUUAAUUGAUGGGGUUAGCGCAAGCGAAGCUCUUGAUCGAAGCCCCGGUAAACGGCGGCCGUAACUAUAACGGUCCUAAGGUAGCGAAAUUCCUUGUCGGGUAAGUUCCGACCUGCACGAAUGGCGUAAUGAUGGCCAGGCUGUCUCCACCCGAGACUCAGUGAAAUUGAACUCGCUGUGAAGAUGCAGUGUACCCGCGGCAAGACGGAAAGACCCCGUGAACCUUUACUAUAGCUUGACACUGAACAUUGAGCCUUGAUGUGUAGGAUAGGUGGGAGGCUUUGAAGUGUGGACGCCAGUCUGCAUGGAGCCGACCUUGAAAUACCACCCUUUAAUGUUUGAUGUUCUAACGUGGACCCGUGAUCCGGGUUGCGGACAGUGUCUGGUGGGUAGUUUGACUGGGGCGGUCUCCUCCUAAAGAGUAACGGAGGAGCACGAAGGUUGGCUAAUCCUGGUCGGACAUCAGGAGGUUAGUGCAAUGGCAUAAGCCAGCUUGACUG